AGAAAGGGAAAGACUUGGCAAAAUGGGAUGGAAGCCAUUAGGGUUGCUUGGAAAACGAAUGGCUUCCAGCGGCUAUAAAUAGGGCAUCUUCUACCCAACAAACAUUAACCACAUCUAGAGAGCAAGUUUCCUCUCUUACUCCCAAAACCCAGCAAUUUCGUGCUCAGCCCAUCCUUUUCCCUUAGUUUUCCCCCUUGGCAAGCUGUUCUAACACUCGACAGAGUCUCUGUCAAGCUGCCGGAAAAACACUCAGGCCACCAUUUUCUCUCUUUUUCCUCCUCUCAACCAAAACCUCUGAU
RNAcentral lists this long non-coding RNA (299 nucleotides) under Prunus persica (peach). RNAcentral describes it as "long non-coding RNA (PPER_LNC000541)". The record is from RNAcentral. Lineage: Eukaryota; Viridiplantae; Streptophyta; Magnoliopsida; Rosales; Rosaceae.